AAUCGUACCGUUUCACAAGAUGCAAGGUUCUCAUCCUUGCAAUCGGGGUUCAAUUCCCCGUGAGGUCACCA
RNAcentral lists this transfer RNA (71 nucleotides) under Myoviridae sp. ctqMr7. RNAcentral describes it as "tRNA-Glu". It matches the Rfam family "tRNA", at positions 9 to 71 of the family's 71-position model. Rfam says of the family: Transfer RNA (tRNA) molecules are approximately 80 nucleotides in length. Their secondary structure includes four short double-helical elements and three loops (D, anti-codon, and T loops). Further hydrogen bonds mediate the characteristic L-shaped molecular structure. tRNAs have two regions of fundamental functional importance: the anti-codon, which is responsible for specific mRNA codon recognition, and the 3' end, to which the tRNAs corresponding amino acid is attached (by aminoacyl-tRNA synthetases). tRNAs cope with the degeneracy of the genetic code in two manners: having more than one tRNA (with a specific anti-codon) for a particular amino acid; and 'wobble' base-pairing, i.e. permitting non-standard base-pairing at the 3rd anti-codon position. Lineage: Duplodnaviria; Heunggongvirae; Uroviricota; Caudoviricetes. The record is from RNAcentral.